RNAcentral lists this long non-coding RNA (482 nucleotides) under Capsicum annuum. RNAcentral describes it as "long non-coding RNA (CANN_LNC017991)". Lineage: Eukaryota; Viridiplantae; Streptophyta; Magnoliopsida; Solanales; Solanaceae. The record is from RNAcentral.
UUUUCAUUGACACCGGUCCUCAAUUUCAAUGAGAAUCGUGACUGGUGAGGAGGAAGGAGGUCGAAUCGUGGACUGGGGGUCUCCGGAGGUGGAGGCGGAUCUGGUUCAAAUAACUGAAGGGGACGGAAGCGGUGCUGGAGGAGUUGGAGGAGGAUCUGGUUUGCGUGGGAGGGGAAUUCGAUAGCACUAGCAGCGUGGCUGCUACGGACGACGACCACUCAUCGUUCAAUGGUAAAGGCGGCACUGCUGGUCGAAACUAUUGUUUUCGCCUUUGUUGGUGAAAUGGGCGGCAGAUCAGAGCGAAGGUGGCUGGAGGUGGCUUCUCCGGUGGUUGCUGGAGCUAGUUCUCAACGGGAUGGGGAAGAGGCAACGGUUUAUUUCCUUCCUUAGCUGUGACGAUUUUGGAAGGGAUAUCUAAGGUAAAGGAGUUUUGCAGAGAGACAUAGUGGGAGAGAGAGAGAGAGAAGAAAGAAGAAUAGAUG